UACAGAGGUCUCAAGCGUUGUUCGGAUUCAUUGGGCGUAACGGGUGUGUAGGUGGCGCCGUAAGUCGGGUGUGAAAUUUCGGAGCUUAACUCCGAAACUGCAUUCGAUACUGCGGUGCUUGAGGACUGGAGAGGAGACUGGAAUUCAUGGUGUAGCAGUGAAAUGCGUAGAGAUCAUGAGGAAGACCAGUGGCGAAGGCGGGUCUCUGGACAGUUCCUGACACUGAGACACGAAGGCCAGGGGAGCAAACGGG
RNAcentral lists this ribosomal RNA (253 nucleotides) under uncultured bacterium. RNAcentral describes it as "partial 16S ribosomal RNA". It matches the Rfam family "Bacterial small subunit ribosomal RNA", at positions 524 to 776 of the family's 1533-position model. The record is from RNAcentral.